RNAcentral lists this ribosomal RNA (306 nucleotides) under uncultured bacterium. RNAcentral describes it as "partial 16S ribosomal RNA". It matches the Rfam family "Bacterial small subunit ribosomal RNA", at positions 507 to 807 of the family's 1533-position model. The record is from RNAcentral.
GACAGCAGCCGCCGCGGUAAUACAGAGGGUGCGAGCGUUAAUCGGAUUUACUGGGCGUAAAGCGUGCGUAGGCGGCUUCUUAAGUCGGAUGUGAAAUCCCUGAGCUUAACUUAGGAAUUGCAUUCGAUACUGGGAAGCUAGAGUAUGGGAGAGGAUGGUAGAAUUCCAGGUGUAGCGGUGAAAUGCGUAGAGAUCUGGAGGAAUACCGAUGGCGAAGGCAGCCAUCUGGCCUAAUACUGACGCUGAGGUACGAAAGCAUGGGGAGCAAACAGGAUUAGAUACCCCCGUAGUCCCUGUCUCUUAUAC